This is a long non-coding RNA of Columba livia (rock pigeon), 1269 nucleotides long. RefSeq lists it as uncharacterized. Lineage: Eukaryota; Metazoa; Chordata; Aves; Columbiformes; Columbidae. The transcript is spliced from 2 exons. The record is from RefSeq and is a predicted model, not a curated record.
AUGGUUGAUGACAUUUCCUGAAAUAAGCAUUUUCUUUCAAUAUGUACUUUCUCAAAUUCCUUUAAAAUAUUUGGGUUUGGAAAUGAUGAACUUUUAUUUUGGGCCAGGAAUGGCUUAUUUAAAUAUUUAGGUAUAUUGAUUUAAAUGUAUUUUUGUGUGUGGUAAAUAAAUUUCAACUUUGGGGUUGAAUUUUUAGCCAGAUUUAAGAGAAUUUUCUUCGGGUAUCAAAGAAAUUGGCAAGAGUCAAUUCGAAACUAGGAGCAAUAAAAGCAAUUUGGUUAAAAUGAGAAAUUUACUUAGAUAACAAAAAAUGGACCAAAAACAUUACUCCUGGAAAUCACAUUAUUUUGACCAGCGGAAGAAUGUAAAUUUGGAGAAAUUCACCUCAAACUGCAGCAUGUGGUUGGUGUGAUAUAUCACCUCCAGGCGCAGGGUGCUGGUGGGUGACAUGGAUUUCUGGGACUCUUCGAGGUCCUUCUGCGUGAAGGUGACAUUGGCCGUCACACCAGACGACGCGUACAUGACAUCAGCAAUGGAAAAACCGUUGUCGGGGCCGUUGUAGUAGCAGUAGGGAAUGCUAAAAUCAGAGGUGACUUCCUGCAGAUGGAAAUGGGAUGAGAUACUUAAAAGCAAGAAAUUUCGCUCCACCAACCUUAGGAGCUCUAGAGAAACCUUCAUCUUUACAAACUUACGUAUUUGACAUUCCCAUCUGGAACAUCUGGAAAAGGUCUGAUCCUGCAGAUGAGUGCACUCUUUGGAAAAACAAAUUCCUACUUUUAAGUGUCAAAUUUUGUGUGUUUUACUUUUAAUUUUUAAAAUUUUAACUUUUAUGUUUAAUUUUUAUUAUGUUUAAUUUUACGUUUAAUUUUUCCAAUUAAUAAUUGCUGAAAAAUGUCAAUAUUAUUUACCCUCCUACAAUAUCGACUAAAAUCCUAGAGCUGUCGCUCGCCUUAUAAAUGAAUGUAAAUGAAUGCAAAAAUGAAAGUGGUGUUGCAUGCAAUGUUUGAGGAGAUCAUUUUGUAUGUUAUUAUGUAUAUUAUUAAAACAAAAGUGCAUAUCAUUAAAAUAAAUUAUGUAUAAUAUUAAUAAUAUAAUUAACAUUAUUAUUCAGGUAAAUAUCAUAAUUUCACAUUUUAGUAAAAUACCUCACCUGUACUGUGGCAUUUGCCAUAGUACCGAGUCAUCUCCUUUUCAAUAUAUAAAAUACAGAAACAUGUCAGUCCAAUUUUACUAUUUCUUACCUUAUUUACAGGAACGUAGGUGAAAUUA